AUUGAACGCUGGCGGAAUGCUUUACACAUGCAAGUCGAACGGCAGCACGGGGCAACCUGGUGGCGAGUGGCGAACGGGUGAGUAAUACAUCGGAACGUGCCCAAUCGUGGGGGAUAACGUAGCGAAAGUUACGCUAAUACCGCAUACGAUCUACGGAUGAAAGCGGGGGAUCGCAAGACCUCGCGCGAAUGGAGCGGCCGAUGUCAGAUUAGGUAGUUGGUGGGGUAAAGGCUCACCAAGCCGACGAUCUGUAGCUGGUCUGAGAGGACGACCAGCCACACUGGGACUGAGACACGGCCCAGACUCCUACGGGAGGCAGCAGUGGGGAAUCUUGCGCAAUGGGCGAAAGCCUGACGCAGCGACGCCGCGUGAGUGAUGAAGGCCUUCGGUUGUAAGCUCUGUGGGGGGAGGACGGAAUAAGUACGUGGCCAACAUCCACGAUGAUGACGGUA
RNAcentral lists this ribosomal RNA (452 nucleotides) under uncultured bacterium. RNAcentral describes it as "bacterial SSU rRNA". It matches the Rfam family "Bacterial small subunit ribosomal RNA", at positions 29 to 477 of the family's 1533-position model. The record is from RNAcentral.